Molecule: RNA transcript, 2130 nt
Organism: Cryptotermes secundus
Lineage: Eukaryota; Metazoa; Arthropoda; Insecta; Blattodea; Kalotermitidae
Exons: 2
Source: RefSeq, a predicted model, not a curated record
UGUCACACUGGACUGAAAAUUAUCCACUUUGUAAUUAAUAGUGUGACGGACCAGAAUGAGACAAAUCAAAUUAGAUGCCUGCUUCUUUGUAAACAGCUCUGAAAACAGACAAAGAAGUACCUUUCUGGGCACUAAUUACACAAAAUUCACAGAAUAAAUGCAAACCACGCAUGCUUCAUCUCUGAAAAUACUGUCAUUGUGUUAGUGACUAGGAACAGGGAUUGGAUUGAUCACUUAAAAACUUGCAACUACAGGUAACUAUAACAGUCUGACUAAUUUACACACUCUAAAGAUAACUGUAACUACAGCACACAUGAAGUCUAUGUCUUCACUCGUUUUCUUCGAAAUGGCAUCUAACAAUGGAGAUCCUUCAGCUUUCUUGGUCGUCAUUGCUGGCUAGCUACUGUCUCAUAACUAUCAUGUGUCUAGUCCUGUAAACUGAUGCUGGCCCACACCAGCACAGUCAUUCUUAGUUUCAGGCUCCAUUGGGACCCAUGACCGAAUUUAUGUUCGUUCCAAGUUAAAUUAUGUGCUUCGAAAUGGGGUCUCCUCUUUGCUAAAAGGAGAGGUUUGUCUUUCUAAGUAGGCACCAUAUUUGUUGCACUGUAAUUUUUCAUGAGUGCAUCCCCACUCAUGCAGCAUUCAGGUAAGGGCAUGUGUGCAUCCUGGACACCAUAUGUGCCUUGUCACUUUACUACAAUGAAUAAUGCUUAUGCAGAUAUAUAUACAUAGGACAUCUGUCAAUGCAGGCUUCUGCAGCGGAUUAUGCCUUCAUUUAUUUUGCCACUCUGAAAUGGCAGUUAGACAAUUGAAUGGGUGAAGGUCUGAUCACUGCCAAGUUUAAGCCUCUUAUGUUUCUUAAGCAUGUGUUCUCUUUGUCCAGUGGUACAUACAGUUGGAAUUAAAUGAGUCUGGAUGACUUCUGCCUGUUUCCUGCAUAAUCUGGUUACACAUCUACACAUUUAAGGAAUUCUGAAAGCCACAUGUAUUUCACAGACCAGUGUACACCUGUCACAGCUUCCAACAAUGCAGAGAGCUCUGUUCUGGGGUGCUACAGUUUCAAGAAGUGAGCAUCUGCUACAAACACCCAGGUGAUAACCAUGUUGUGGUGCCACAACUACAGCAUGAUUUAAAAUAGUUGUGAUGAAGGCUGUGCUUGAGCUAAUUUUGACUUUAUAACAAGAGAAAUCAAAGGGGUAAAGAGAGCUUGGUUGGUUCCCGACUGGGGCAAGAAAUGUUUCUCUUCUCCAGUGUCCAGACCAGCUGUGGCACCCACCCAGCAUCCUAUCCAAUGGGUACUGGAGCUCUUUUCCUGGUGUUACAGUGGCCAGGGCAUGAAGCUGACAACUUGCCUGCUAUCCAGCAUGUCUUCAAGGCGCAGGGCUUAACUGAUUAAAAAUGGAGAAGUUAAACAAACUCCAGGAAAAAAUCUCUAACUCUUUCUUGAUCAGUUUAGCCCAAAUAAAAUAAAGCCAUUUUGUGCCAAAAAUGAAUCUACCUCUGCUUGAUAAACAACACACAGUCCAUACAUGUGACCAUCAUACCCACAUCUUACAGCGUGAAUUCAUUUCAAAUAAUCAUAUAAUUGCUGAAGCAGACAAAUGAGCAGCAGCUUUCAAAAUUCUAGUUUGCAACGCUCCCAAUGCAACACAGCUGUUCUGUGUGUGUAACAAUUCUCAUUCUGAUAAGCAACAGUUUUCAAAGCCCCCAUCUCGGCCUCCUAUCUAGUCUGUACUGGGGAUAAAUCAGGAGGGGAGUGAAGGUGACCAUUCACCUCCAUCUUGUGCCAUGGUCAAGAAUGGCGGAAAUCCACCUCCAUGCCCCCCAUGUGUCUAUGGCAUAGCGCUUAACUAAUUAAGCAUAUGGUUGUCAUUUUUCUUAAUCAUGCACUGACAGAUCUGAGUGUUCUAAUAAAAUAAUGGACUCGUAGUUUCUGUUUAUAUAACAAUUAUAGAUUUAUGAAUUUAAAAUAAUCAGAAUAUAAUACACUGAUUACAUAACAAUUAUAGAUUUAUUAAUUUAAAACAAUCAGAAUACAAUAUAUUGAUUGCAUAACAAUUAUGGAUUUAUUAAUUUAAACUAAUCAGAAUAGAAUAAAUACAUUCAUUAAACAAAAAUUGUAGAACUCCA